This 204-nucleotide unclassified non-coding RNA is filed under the name uncultured Sebacinaceae. RNAcentral's name for it is "sequence contains ITS2". The record is from RNAcentral. Lineage: Eukaryota; Fungi; Basidiomycota; Agaricomycetes; Sebacinales; Sebacinaceae.
UAAUCUCACCAUCUGACUCUUUGUCGUCAGCAUGCUGUGGAGUUGGAUGCUGCUGUGCUUGUGACAGCUCAUCUGAAAUUUCUGAGUGCAUCCUGUAUUGCGAUGUGUUUGGUGUGAUAAAUCUUCACCAUAAUUGACUUACCAAGUCACGCUCGCUUGAUGGCUCUGUGCUUCCAAACAUCCUUAAUGGGAUAAUAGUUGACA